CCUACGGGAGGCAGCAGUGAGGAAUAUUGGUCAAUGGGCGCGAGCCUGAACCAGCCAAGUAGCGUGAAGGAUGACUGCCCUACGGGUUGUAAACUUCUUUUAUAAAGGAAUAAAGUGAGCACCUUGUGCCUUUUUGUAGGUCCUUAAUGAAUAAGGACCGGCUACUUCCGUGCAAGCAGCCGGGGUAAUACGGAGGAUCCGGGCGUUAUCCGGAUUUAUUGGGUUUAAAGGGAGCGUAGAUGGGUUGUUAAGUCAGUUGUGAAAGUUUGCGGCUCAACCUUAAAAUUGCAAUUGAUACUGGCAGCCUUGAGUACAGUUGAGGUAGGCGGAAUUCGUGGUGUAGCGGUGAAAUGCUUAGAUAUCACGAAGAACUCCGAUUGCGAAGGCAGCUUACUAAACUGCCACUGACAUUGAUGCUCGAAAGUGUGGGUAUCAAACAGGAUUAGAUACCCGUGUAGUC
This 460-nucleotide ribosomal RNA is filed under the name uncultured bacterium. RNAcentral's name for it is "partial 16S ribosomal RNA". It matches the Rfam family "Bacterial small subunit ribosomal RNA", at positions 338 to 795 of the family's 1533-position model. The record is from RNAcentral.